CAGUAGCCGCGGGAAUACGAAGGGGGCUAACGUUGCUCGGAAUCACUGGGCGUAAAGGGUGCGUAGGCGGGUCUUUAAGUCAGGGGUGAAAUCCUGGAGCUCAACUCCAGAACUGCCUUUGAUACUGAAGAUCUUGAGUUCGGGAGAGGUGAGUGGAACUGCGAGUGUAGAGGUGAAAUUCGUAGAUAUUCGCAAGAACACCAGUGGCGAAGGCGGCUCACUGGCCCGAUACUGACGCUGAGGCACGAAAGCGUGGGGAGCAAACAGGAUUAGAUACCCCUGUAGUCCCUGUCUCUUAUAC
This 301-nucleotide ribosomal RNA is filed under the name uncultured bacterium. Its description in RNAcentral is "partial 16S ribosomal RNA". It matches the Rfam family "Bacterial small subunit ribosomal RNA", at positions 509 to 807 of the family's 1533-position model. The record is from RNAcentral.